ACAUAUUUAUAAAUCAGAAAACAGAUUCACCAUUGCUUCAUUGAAUACUUCAUCACUAUUAUGGAGGGUCAAUCAGUUACGGUGCAUUAUGCGUAGGCACACAUACUUAUCACUGGUUCCCCAUAUACCUAAACACGAAACAGCAUACAUGAGUACCUUGAAACACUAUUUUCCCAUACAUCCGAACACAGAACGGUUAGAGCACAAAAAUCAAACUAUUUUCCCAUACACCCAAACACGAAAUAAUUAUAUAUGAGUAAACACUUAUCACUUUACUAAUACACCCGAAUACAAAACAGUUAUGUAUGGGUAAAUACUUAUUACUUUGUCAAUACACCCAAACACAAAAUGGUUAUGUAUGACCACAUUAGAGCCUAGUAUAAUGCAGGUACUUUCAGAAUAGUUUCUUUCUAUAAUGAGUGAUGCACACGUAUCAACAUCACAUUU
RNAcentral lists this long non-coding RNA (447 nucleotides) under Carica papaya (papaya). RNAcentral's name for it is "long non-coding RNA (CPAP_LNC009503)". The record is from RNAcentral. Lineage: Eukaryota; Viridiplantae; Streptophyta; Magnoliopsida; Brassicales; Caricaceae.